This 448-nucleotide ribosomal RNA is filed under the name uncultured bacterium. RNAcentral describes it as "bacterial SSU rRNA". It matches the Rfam family "Bacterial small subunit ribosomal RNA", at positions 355 to 825 of the family's 1533-position model. The record is from RNAcentral.
CAGGGAAUCUUGCACAAUGGGCGAAAGCCUGAUGCAGCGACGCCGCGUGGGGGAUGAAGGCCUUAGGGUCGUAAACCCCUUUCAGCAGGGACGAAAAUGACGGUACCUGCAGAAGAAGCCCCGGCCAACUACGUGCCAGCAGCCGCGGUAAGACGUAGGGGGCGAGCGUUGUCCGGAUUUAUUGGGCGUAAAGAGCUCGUAGGCGGUUGCGUAAGUCGGAUGUGAAAACUCAGGGCUCAACCCUGAGACGCCAUCCGAUACUGCGCUGACUUGAAUCCAGUAGGGGAGUGUGGAAUUCCUGGUGUAGCGGUGAAAUGCGCAGAUAUCAGGAGGAACACCUGAGGUGAAGACGGGUUGCUGGGCUGACACUGACGCUGAGGCGCGAAAGCCAGGGGAGCAAACGGGAUUAGAUACCCGAGUAGUCCCUGAGCGGGCUGGCAAGGCGCAU